RNAcentral lists this ribosomal RNA (492 nucleotides) under uncultured bacterium. RNAcentral describes it as "partial 16S ribosomal RNA". It matches the Rfam family "Bacterial small subunit ribosomal RNA", at positions 29 to 507 of the family's 1533-position model. The record is from RNAcentral.
AGUGAACGCUGGCGGUAGGCCUAACACAUGCAAGUCAAACGGCAGCACAGUAAGAGCUUGCUCUUACGGGUGGCGAGUGGCGGACGGGUGAGGAAUACAUCGGAAUCUACUUUUUCGUGGGGGAUAACGUAGGGAAACUUACGCUAAUACCGCAUACGACCUACGGGUGAAAGCAGGGGGUCUUCGGACCUUGCGCGAUUGAAUGAGCCGAUGUCGGAUUAGCUAGUUGGCGGGGUAAAGGCCCACCAAGGCGACGAUCCGUAGCUGGUCUGAGAGGAUGAUCAGCCACACUGGAACUGAGACACGGUCCAGACUCCUACGGGAGGCAGCAGUGGGGAAUAUUGGACAAUGGGCGCAAGCCUGAUCCAGCCAUACCGCGUGGGUGAAGAAGGCCUUCGGGUUGUAAAGCCCUUUUGUUGGGAAAGAAAAGCUUCAUAUUAAUACCACGAUGUUCUGACGGUACCAAAAGAAUAAGCACCGGCUAACUUCGUG